This 317-nucleotide long non-coding RNA is filed under the name Anser brachyrhynchus (Pink-footed goose). RNAcentral's name for it is "lncRNA (ENSABRG00000012054.1)". Lineage: Eukaryota; Metazoa; Chordata; Aves; Anseriformes; Anatidae. The record is from RNAcentral.
CAACAAACAGCAACGAGAAAAUCUGGUGCUAACUUCUACAUAUGUGACAGGCCCUGAGUUACCUCGAGGGGAUUCAGAGGAUGCAUGGACUAGAAAGUAAACGGAGGGGGAACACAGGGAACUUCAGCUGCAAUAAAAGUACCUCUGUAGGAUCCGAGUUACCCUGAGCUGUACAGGACUGAACGUGAAGGAGGAAAAAGGUGCUGUGAACACUUUACUGCCUGCACCCACAAACUGUCUGCUUUAUCCCUGUUUGAAAGCCAGAGAUGGUGAUGGCCCCCAGCUUUAUGAAAUAAAUAUCAGUGUGCAAGUUACCG